GUCUGGCUGAUGUUGAUCCAAUGCAAAUAGAUUGUUCAGUGCGAUUUGAUGGUGUGGGUGGUCUUUCUGACCACAUUUCAGCUUUAAAAGAGAUGGUCGUUUUUCCACUGCUUUACCCAGAAGUCUUUGAGAGAUUCAAAAUUCAACCUCCAAGAGGCUGUCUAUUCUAUGGUCCACCAGGGACUGGAAAGACACUGGUUGCUCGUGCGCUUGCUAAUGAAUGCAGCCAAGGUGAGAGGAGAAUAGCCUUUUUUAUGCGAAAAGGUGCCAACUGCCUGAGUAAAUGGGCGGGGGAAUCUGAACGACA
Grus americana (Whooping crane) is the source of this 307-nucleotide long non-coding RNA. RefSeq lists it as uncharacterized. The transcript is spliced from 3 exons. NCBI's taxonomy places the organism in Eukaryota, Metazoa, Chordata, Aves, Gruiformes, Gruidae. The record is from RefSeq and is a predicted model, not a curated record.